RNAcentral lists this non-coding RNA (236 nucleotides) under Bacillus cereus. Its description in RNAcentral is "T-box sequence". It matches the Rfam family "T-box leader". Rfam says of the family: Uncharged tRNA acts as the effector for transcription antitermination of genes in the T-box leader family. T-boxes are found upstream of many aminoacyl-tRNA synthetase genes and some amino acid biosynthetic genes usually in Gram-positive bacteria. The anticodon of a specific tRNA base pairs to a specifier sequence within the T-box motif, and the NCCA acceptor tail of the tRNA base pairs to a conserved bulge in the T-box antiterminator hairpin. The record is from RNAcentral. Lineage: Bacteria; Bacillati; Bacillota; Bacilli; Caryophanales; Bacillaceae.
AGUCAUGCAUUGAAAGGAAAAGCACUAGUUGUUGUUUCCCUGUAACAGAGAGCUGGUGGUUGGUGCGAACCAGUACAUAAACAAGAGCGAAUUACAGUCCUAGAGCAUCUUUUUCGUAGUAAAGAUAGUAUUGUCUUUAUGAAGGGAAAGACGGUCAGAUGAUCGUUAACAAUGAAGAGAGGUAGACGAAAGAAGUCUACAACUAGGGUGGUACCGCGAUAAAUAUCGUCCCUACU